This is a transfer RNA of Phytophthora nicotianae (black shank of tobacco agent), 70 nucleotides long. It matches the Rfam family "tRNA". From Rfam's summary of the family: Transfer RNA (tRNA) molecules are approximately 80 nucleotides in length. Their secondary structure includes four short double-helical elements and three loops (D, anti-codon, and T loops). Further hydrogen bonds mediate the characteristic L-shaped molecular structure. tRNAs have two regions of fundamental functional importance: the anti-codon, which is responsible for specific mRNA codon recognition, and the 3' end, to which the tRNAs corresponding amino acid is attached (by aminoacyl-tRNA synthetases). tRNAs cope with the degeneracy of the genetic code in two manners: having more than one tRNA (with a specific anti-codon) for a particular amino acid; and 'wobble' base-pairing, i.e. permitting non-standard base-pairing at the 3rd anti-codon position. The record is from Rfam. Lineage: Eukaryota; Oomycota; Peronosporomycetes; Peronosporales; Peronosporaceae.
GCCCGNCUAGCUCAAUGGUCGAGCGCUGGCUNCGAAAGCCACAGGUCGGUGGUUCAAUUCCACCCGGGCA